RNAcentral lists this ribosomal RNA (742 nucleotides) under uncultured bacterium. RNAcentral describes it as "bacterial SSU rRNA". It matches the Rfam family "Bacterial small subunit ribosomal RNA", at positions 8 to 796 of the family's 1533-position model. The record is from RNAcentral.
AGAGUUUGAUCCUGGCUCAGAACUAACAUUGGCGGCAGGCCUAACACAUGCAAGUCGAGCGAGGUUUAGAACCGAGCGGCGAACGGGUGCGUAAUACUUGGAAAUCUGCCCUGAAGUGGGGGAUAACUAGCAGAAAUGCUGGAUAAUACCGCAUAAUCCCUAACGGGCAAAGCGCGCAGCGCUUCAGGAUGAGUCCAAGGCUGAUUAGCUAGUUGGUGGGGUAAAAGCCCACCAAGGCGACGAUCAGUAGCUGGUCUUAGAGGAUGAUCAGCCACACUGGAACUGAGACACGGUCCAGACUCCUACGGGAGGCAGCAGUGGGGAAUCUUGCACAAUGGGGGCAACCUUGAUGCAGCCAUGCCGCGUGAACGAUGACGGUCUUCGGAUUGUAAAGUUCUUUUGGCGGGGACGACGAUGACGGUACCCGCAGAAUAAGUCACGGCUAACUUCGUGCCAGCAGCCGCGGUAAUACGAAGGUGGCGAAUGUUGUUCGGAUUUACUGGGCGUAAAGCGUCCGCAGGUGGUUUAUUAAGUCAGGUGUGAAAGCCCCGCGCUCAACGUGGGAAUUGCAUUUGAAACUGGUUGACUAGAAGGCGAGAGAGGUGGGCGGAAUUGCAGGUGAAGAAGUGAAAUUCGUAGAUAUCUGCAGGAACACCCAUGGCGAAGGCAGCUCACUGGCUCGCUCUUGACACUCAUGGACGAAAGCGUGGGGAUCAAACAGGAUUAGAUACCCUGGUAGUCG